RNAcentral lists this ribosomal RNA (253 nucleotides) under uncultured bacterium. RNAcentral describes it as "partial 16S ribosomal RNA". It matches the Rfam family "Bacterial small subunit ribosomal RNA", at positions 524 to 776 of the family's 1533-position model. The record is from RNAcentral.
UACAGAGGGGGCCAGCGUUAUUCGGAAUUACUGGGCGUAAAGGGCUCGUAGGCGGCCAACUAAGUCAGACGUGAAAUCCCUCGGCUUAACCGGGGAACUGCGUCUGAUACUGGAUGGCUUGAGUUUGGGAGAGGGAUGCGGAAUUCCAGGUGUAGCGGUGAAAUGCGUAGAUAUCUGGAGGAACACCGGUGGCGAAGGCGGCAUCCUGGACCAAUUCUGACGCUGAGGAGCGAAAGCCAGGGGAGCAAACGGG